This 252-nucleotide ribosomal RNA is filed under the name uncultured bacterium. RNAcentral describes it as "partial 16S ribosomal RNA". It matches the Rfam family "Bacterial small subunit ribosomal RNA", at positions 524 to 776 of the family's 1533-position model. The record is from RNAcentral.
UACGUAGGGGGCGAGCGUUAUCCGGAAUUAUUGGGCGUAAAGAGUGCGUAGGUGGUUUUUUAAGCGUGGGGUGAAAGGCAAUGGCUCAACCAUUGUAAGCCUUGCGAACUGGAAGACUUGAGUGCAGGAGAGGAAAGCGGAAUUCCUAGUGUAGCGGUGAAAUGCGUAGAUAUUAGGAGGAACACCAGUGGCGAAGGCGGCUUUCUGGACUGUAACUGACACUGAGGCACGAAAGCGUGGGGAGCAAACAGG